AACGCGAAGAACCUUACCUGGGCUCGAACGGCUUCAGACCGUCGUGGAAACACGAUCUUCCCCUUAAAAGGACUGGAGUCGAGGUGCUGCAUGGCUGUCGUCAGCUCGUGUCGUGAGAUGUUGGGUUAAGUCCCGCAACGAGCGCAACCCUUGUCCUGUGUUGGCAUGCCGCAAGGCGCAACUCUCAGGAGACCGCCAGCGAUAAGUUGGAGGAAGGUGGGGAUGACGUCAAGUCAUCAUGGCCUUUAUGUCCAGGGCCACACACGUGCUACAAUGGGCGGUACAAAGCGCUGCCAACCCGCGAGGGGGAGCUAAUCGCCAAAAACCGUCCUCAGUUCGGAUUGCAGGCUGCAACUCGCCUGCAUGAAGCUGGAAUCGCUAGUAAUGCUAUAUCAGAACGAUAGCGUGAAUACGUUCCCGGGCCUUGUA
This 429-nucleotide ribosomal RNA is filed under the name uncultured Acidobacterium sp. RNAcentral's name for it is "bacterial SSU rRNA". It matches the Rfam family "Bacterial small subunit ribosomal RNA", at positions 958 to 1385 of the family's 1533-position model. Lineage: Bacteria; Pseudomonadati; Acidobacteriota; Terriglobia; Terriglobales; Acidobacteriaceae. The record is from RNAcentral.